GCGCGAAACCCACCACAAGAUGAGAUUUCUUUUAAGGAUCCCUAAAGACGAUAGGGUAGAUAGGCUACAGGUGUAAAGGCAGUAAUGUCAUAGCCGAGUAGUACUAAUCAUCCGUUUAACUUUUUUUU
Molecule: ribosomal RNA, 128 nt
Filed under: Mesohalobacter halotolerans
Lineage: Bacteria; Pseudomonadati; Bacteroidota; Flavobacteriia; Flavobacteriales; Flavobacteriaceae
Description: Bacterial large subunit ribosomal RNA
Rfam family: Bacterial large subunit ribosomal RNA
Source: Rfam by way of RNAcentral